CAUUAGCUAGUUGGUGAGGUAACGGCUCACCAAGGCGACGAUGGGUAGCCGGCCUGAGAGGGUGUACGGCCACACUGGGACUGAGACACGGCCCAGACUCCUACGGGAGGCAGCAGUAGGGAAUAUUGCGCAAUGGACGGAAGUCUGACGCAGCGACGCCGCGUGAGCGAUGAAGGCCUUCGGGUCGUAAAGCUCUGUCCUUGGGGAAGAAGGUCUUCGGACUUGACGGUACCCAAGAAGAAAGCCCCGGCUAACUACGUGCCAGCAGCCGCGGUAAUACGUAGGGGGCGAGCGUUGUCCGGAAUUACUGGGCGUAAAGGGUGCGUAGGCGGCCCUUUAAGUCAGAUGUGAAAGGCCACGGCUUAACCGUGGGAUUGCAUUUGAAACUGGAGGGCUUGAGUGUCGGAGAGGGUAGUGGAAUUCCCAGUGUAGCGGUGAA
Molecule: ribosomal RNA, 439 nt
Filed under: uncultured bacterium
Lineage: Bacteria
Description: bacterial SSU rRNA
Rfam family: Bacterial small subunit ribosomal RNA
Source: RNAcentral